Molecule: unclassified non-coding RNA, 300 nt
Filed under: uncultured fungus
Lineage: Eukaryota; Fungi
Description: sequence contains 5.8S rRNA gene, ITS2
Rfam family: Eukaryotic large subunit ribosomal RNA (bases 245-300)
Source: RNAcentral
AAAGGAGUAUCGUCGGCAGCGUCAGAUGUGUAUAAGAGACAGGUGAGUCAUCGAAUCUUUGAACGCACAUUGCGCCUAUUAGUAUUCUAGUAGGCAUGCCUGUUCGAGCGUCAUUUCAGACUCAGACAUCUGAAGUUGGAAUAUGUGAAUUCACAGUUCCUAAAUACAAUAACGGAUAUAAUGAUAGCCGGGUGUAGUAAAAUCUCGCCUAGGUGUUUGUUAGCGUCCACAAAAUUACAAAUGUUGACCUCGAAUCAGGUAGGAAUACCCGCUGAACUUAAGCAUAUCAAUAAGCGGAGG